CUAAGAUUAAGUCAUAAAAGACUAUUUAUAGCUUCUACCUUACUGCUUCUUGGAUCAUCCACUCUGGGGGAAGCCAGCUGCCAUGUCGUGAGGAUUCCCAAGCAGCCUCAUGGAAGUUCAUGUAAAGCCUCCUGCCAACAGCCAGCAAGGGACUGAAGAGUCCUGCUCACCGCUUUAGGAGAGCUAUCUCGGAAAUGGAUCCUCUGGUUCCAGCCAAAGGCAUCUUGCCCUAAGCUUCAAGUACGGGUCAUUUUCUUCCAUCAAAUCUCAACUCACCUUGCUCCGUGGAAUUUGAUGGUUCUUUACCUCAGCGAUCUCUUUUCCUUGCUCUUCGGAAAGCACAGAACUUACAUUAAACUCAAAGAAGUCUGUAUACCACCUACCUAUGCUAACCAAUCUAAUCACAAUUCAGAAACGUGAACAAACAACUAAGUAUCACUAGAGAGGACUUCGGGACCUCCUCAAGCUGAAAAAGAAAUUCCAGCAUGAGCAAACAUGAUAACACAUUCUAAAUCAAAAGAUAUCAUUUGGAGGAUAAAACAAUAAAAUUUCAAAGAAAUUC
This 562-nucleotide long non-coding RNA is filed under the name Equus caballus (horse). RNAcentral's name for it is "lncRNA (ENSECAG00000056445.1)". Lineage: Eukaryota; Metazoa; Chordata; Mammalia; Perissodactyla; Equidae. The record is from RNAcentral.